This 228-nucleotide non-coding RNA is filed under the name Pediococcus argentinicus. RNAcentral's name for it is "T-box sequence". It matches the Rfam family "T-box leader". From Rfam's summary of the family: Uncharged tRNA acts as the effector for transcription antitermination of genes in the T-box leader family. T-boxes are found upstream of many aminoacyl-tRNA synthetase genes and some amino acid biosynthetic genes usually in Gram-positive bacteria. The record is from RNAcentral. Lineage: Bacteria; Bacillati; Bacillota; Bacilli; Lactobacillales; Lactobacillaceae.
AACUUAACUAUGAACAGAAGAGUAGAUUUAUCACAACAGCAAAGCGAGUUACGGAUAGUGUGAGCGUAGCCUAGUUGAUAAUCGAACCACACCUGGGAGUUGAAUUUCUGAAAGAAGUAAGAAGUUCCGGUAAUGCCGUUAUCAUUUAAGUUAUUUAUAACUUACUGAGGUAUUGCUAUGUGAAUAGCGUACGAACCAGAGGUGGAACCACGAUGAAUCGUCCUCUUA